AUUUGAGAUUCCUAAGUUCUUAAUGAUGCUUGUUGUAACACCCCAGAGAAUUUUCGAACCAAGACUCGAGCCAUCCUUCAUGUGGAGUGGGAUUUUACCGAGCAAUAAAAAUUUAUUGAGUGUUAAGUUAAGGUCCCUAGGUGUAGCACAUUGAGUUCCAAGAAGAGUUGAAUUGGAAAUAGUCAUUUUGGAAAGAAUCUGGAAAAUUUGGCUAUGGAAAAAAGGUGAGUUUUUGGUCAACUUUGAGCAGUCGUAUCUCCUAGCUCAAAAUGAUUUAGGCGAAUUUCCAGUUAUGUCUGGAAAGCCCUUGGAAUGAUCUUUCCAACGCCGCCGAGUUUGCUUGAUUCUGAGUUCGUAUGAGUGACUUAUGCCCUUUGGAAGUUGGGUUGUUGGCAUAGUCGCACAGUCGCACAGUCGCACAGUGCAGUUUGUUUAGUCCGAAAAUUUUAAGGGUAUUUUGGUCUUUUCCCUAAUCUUUUCUUUGGGUUAUAUUGAGGUGUUAGACUGAUGUUUGGAUCAUUUUUGUCCCAUUUUAAAGAGUGAGAGUAAGAGUGAGAGUUAGGGCUUGGAAGAUAAGAGAGAAAGAAGAGGAAAAGAAGAGGAGAAAGAGAAGAAGAAGCUAAGGAUCGUCGUGGAUUUUCGUCGGGGGUGAUCCCUAAUCAGACACAGGUAUUCAGGAUCAUCAACAGGAGAUUCGUUGAUACAUCCGGGAGUUCCAGUUAGCUAUGACAAGCCUCUUUGCUUCCGGAGGAUUUCAUUUACCUUUCAGUUGUAUCAGUUGUUAGGAGGUCGUGGGUCUUGUCCCGGCUUCCAUCUUUAUCAGUUAGAGGCUUCAUAGAUAGACAAUAGAGUUUCAGAAGUCUCUUCAUUUAUUUUGUUAAAUGUUUUGAAGACUAAAGUUGCCUUUUAUGGCGAGUUGUAUAUAUAU
This is a long non-coding RNA of Solanum stenotomum, 928 nucleotides long. RefSeq lists it as uncharacterized. The transcript is spliced from 2 exons. The record is from RefSeq and is a predicted model, not a curated record. NCBI's taxonomy places the organism in Eukaryota, Viridiplantae, Streptophyta, Magnoliopsida, Solanales, Solanaceae.